GAUGAACGCUAGCUACAGGCUUAACACAUGCAAGUCGAGGGGAAACGACAUCGAAAGCUUGCUUUUGAUGGGCGUCGACCGGCGCACGGGUGAGUAACGCGUAUCCAACCUGCCCAUCACUUGGGGAUAACCUUGCGAAAGUAAGACUAAUACCCAAUGAUAUCUCUAGAAGACAUCUGAAAGAGAUUAAAGAUUUAUCGGUGAUGGAUGGGGAUGCGUCUGAUUAGCUUGUUGGCGGGGUAACGGCCCACCAAGGCAACGAUCAGUAGGGGUUCUGAGAGGAAGGUCCCCCACAUUGGAACUGAGACACGGCCCAAACUCCUACGGGAGGCAGCAGUGAGGAAUAUUGGUCAAUGGGCGAGAGCCUGAACCAGCCAAGUAGCGUGCAGGAAGACGGCCCUAUGGGUUGUAAACUGCUUUUAUAAGGGAAUAAAGUGAGAGUCGUGACUCUUUUUGUAUGUACCUUAUGAAUAAGGACCGGCUAAUUCCGUG
This 492-nucleotide ribosomal RNA is filed under the name uncultured bacterium. Its description in RNAcentral is "partial 16S ribosomal RNA". It matches the Rfam family "Bacterial small subunit ribosomal RNA", at positions 28 to 507 of the family's 1533-position model. The record is from RNAcentral.